RNAcentral lists this long non-coding RNA (692 nucleotides) under Zostera marina. RNAcentral describes it as "long non-coding RNA (ZMAR_LNC003074)". The record is from RNAcentral. Lineage: Eukaryota; Viridiplantae; Streptophyta; Magnoliopsida; Alismatales; Zosteraceae.
CUCGCACUCAGUAACCAACGACGACGAAUCAUCUCACCGGCGCUUCUCGCACAGGCGCACCGACUUCCGGCGAUGGCGAUAAUCAUUUACCACGACAUAAUGCAUACUCUGUUUUACACUCUUCGCCGGCGAUCCACUUCAUCGAUUUAAAUGUUAUCAUAUUCGUCUUUUUUUCUAAUAAAAUCUUUCAUUCUCCUUCUUCUAACCCUAAAAUCGCCUUUACCGACCGAAAUGACGGCGUUUCCCAUACCGGAUUUCAUCGGAUUUCGAUAAAACCUUUAACCACACCGGAUUUCUCAUGUUUUACAGGUAUUAUUUCCAUCCAUCUCACUCUUGAUUAGUUUAUUGAUGAUUUCUGUUACAGGAAGAACCAUACUAAUCGGUAGUUUUUUUUUAAAAUCUAGGUAGUUAAAUCUGGUUCAAUGGAAUCGAUCCGGCGAGCGAGCUGAUGAUUUCCAUCACAGCAGAUUUGAUGAAUCAGGUUUCUAAUCCCAUCAACCCAUUUUUGCUUAUGCUUCUCAUUCUCACAUUCGAACUCUAUGAUCCCCUGUGAAGUGCUGACCCCAAAGUGUAUUCCUCCUCCACCGGAACAACUUCCUCUCCCCGGCCAGGCCGGAAUGUCCUCGUACACGCCGUAGACAAUGCACGAUUUUCGCUUCGAGAAAGCUCCACCGAUGUCGAUGUGCUUGCUU